This 3900-nucleotide long non-coding RNA is filed under the name Coturnix japonica (Japanese quail). RNAcentral describes it as "lncRNA (ENSCJPG00005001164.1)". The record is from RNAcentral. Lineage: Eukaryota; Metazoa; Chordata; Aves; Galliformes; Phasianidae.
AUGCAUCCUAUUGCUUUGCAUUGCACCACAUUGCACCCAGGUUGCAUUGCAUUGCAUUGCAUUGCAUGGGGUUGCAUUGCAUUGCAUUGCUUUGCAUUGCAACCCAUUGCAUUGCAGAGGUUUGCAUUGCAACCCGUUGCAUUGCAUCGCAUUGCACCCAGCUUGCAUUGCAUUGCUUUGCUUUGCUUUGCUUUGCAUUGCUUUGUAUUGCAUUGUAUUGUAUUGUAUUGCAUUGCAACCCAUUGCAUUGUAUUGCUUUGCUUUGCAUUGCUUUGCUUUGCUUUGCAACCCAUUGCAUUGCAUUGCACGUGGUUUGCUUUGCUUUGCUUUGCUUUGCAACCUAUUGCAUUGCAUUGCAUUGCAUUGCAUUGCUUUGCUUUGCAACCUAUUCCAUUGCAUUGCAUUGCGUUGCGUCCCAUUGCAUUGCACUGCUUUGCUUUGAAACCCAUUGCUUGCAUCCCAUCCCAUCCCAUUGCAUUGCUUUGCAUUGCUUUGCAUUGCAUUGUGUCGUGUCAUAUUGCAUUGCAUUGCAUUGCUUUGCUUUGCUUUGCAUUGGGUUGCAUUGCUUUGCAACCUAUUGCAUUGCAUUACAUUGCAUCCCACCCCAUUGCAUUGCAUUGCACGUGGUUUGCUUUGCAUUGCAUUGGGUUGCAUUGCUUUGCAACCUAUUGCAUUGCAUUGCAUCCUAUUGCAUUGCAUUGUUUUGCUUUGCUUUGCAACCUAUUGCAUUGCAUUGCUUUGCAUUGUGUCAUUGGGUUGUAUUGGGUUGCAUUGCAUUGCUUUGCUUUGCAACCUGUUGUAUUGCAUUGCUUUGCUUUGCUUUGCAUUGCUUUGCUUUGCAUUGCUUUGCAUUGCUUUGCUUUGCAUUGCUUUGCAACCUAUUGCAUUGCAUCCUAUUGCAUUGCAUUGCUUUGCAUUGGGUUGCAUUGCUAUGUAUUGCAUUGCAUUGCAUUGCUUUGCUUUGCAUUGCUUUGCUUUGCUUGUGUUGUAUUGCAUUGCAUUGCUUUGCUUUGCUUUGCUUUGCUUUGCAUUGCUUUGCAACCUGUUGUAUUGCAUUGCAUUGCAUUGAAUCCCAUUGCACCCUAUUGCAUUGCAUUGCAUUGCAUCCUAUUGCUUUGCUUUGCAACCUAUUGCAUUGCAUUGCAUUGCAUCCUAUUGCAACCCAUUGUAUUGCAUUGUAUUGUAUUGUAUUGCUUUGCAAGCUAUUGCAUUGCAUUGCAUUGCUUUGCUUUGCUUUGCUUUGCUUUGCAUUGCAACCUGUUGUAUUGCAUUGCAUUGCAUUGCUUUGCAAGCUAUUGUAUUGCAUUGCAUUGGGUUGCAUUGCUUUGCUUUGCUUUGCAUUGCAACCUAUUGCAUUGCACAGCUUUGCAAGCGAUUGCAUUGCAUUGCUUUGCAAGCUAUUGUAUUGCAUUGCAUCCUAUUGCAUUGCAUUGCAUUGGGUUGUAUUGCAUUGCACCCAGUUUGCAUUGCAUCCCAUUGCAUUGCAUUGCAUUGUACUACAUUGCAACCCAUUGCAUUGCAACCCGUUGCAUUGCAUUGCUUUGCAACCCAUUGCAUUGCACCACAUUGCACCCAGCUUGCAUUGCAUUGCAUUGGGUUGCAUUGCAUUGCACCUGGUUUGCAUUGCAUUGCAUUGCUUUGCUUUGCUUUGCUUUGCUUUGCAUUGAAUCCCAUUGCACCCUAUUGCAUUGCAUUGCAUUGCAUUGUAUUGCAUUGUAUUGCAUUGGGUUGCAUUGCUUUGCUUUGCUUUGCUUGUGUUGUAUUGCGUUGCAUUGCUUUGCUUUGCUUUGCUUUGCUUUGCUUGUGUUGCAUUGCAUUGCUUUGCUUUGCAACCUAUUGCAUUGCAUCCCACCCAUUGCAUUGCUUUGCAACCUAUUGCACUGUAUUGCAUUGCAUUGCUUUGCUUUGCUUUGCAAUGUAUUGCAUUGUAUUGCUUUGCAACCUAUUGCAUUGCUUUGCUUUGCAUUGGGUUGCAUUGCAUUGCAUUGCAUUGCUUUGCUUUGCUUUGCAUUGCUUUGCAUUGCACCCAGCUUGCAUUGCAUUGCUUUGCAUUGCAAGCUAUUGCAUUGCAUUGCUUUGCUUUGCAAGCUAUUGCAUUGCAUUGCAUUGCUUUGCUUUGCUUUGCAUUGUAUUGUAUUGCAACCAGUUUGCAUUGCAUCCCAUUGCAUUGCACACAGUUUGCAUUGCUUUGCAUUGCAUUGCUUUGCUUUGCAACCUAUUGCAUUGUAUUGCAUUGUAUUGCAUUGCAUUGCAUUGCAUUGCAUUGUAUUGCUUUGUACUGCAUUGCUUUGCAUCCCAUUGCUUUGCAUUGCACGUGGUUUGCAUUGUAUUGCAUUGCAUUGCAUUGAAUCCCAUUGCACCCUAUUGCAUUGCAUUGCUUUGCAACCUGUUGUAUUGCAUUGCAUUGCAUUGCACCUGGUUUGCUUUGCAUUGCAACCUAUUGCAUUGCAUUGCUUUGCAUUGCAUUGCAUUGUAUUGCAUUGUAUUGCAUUGGGUUGUAUUGGGUUGCAUUGCAUUGCAUUGCACGUGGUUUGCUUUGCUUUGCUUUGCUUCUUAUCCCAUUGCAUUGCAUUGCAUUGCUUUGCUUUGCAUUGGGUUGCAUUGCAUUGCAUCCCAUUGCAUUGCAUUGUAUUGCUUUGCAACCUAUUGCAUUGCAUUGCAUUGGGUUGCGUUGCUUUGCAUUGCAUUGCUUUGCUUUGCUUUGCUUUGCAUUGCAUUGCAUCCUAUUGCAUUGCAUUGCAUUGGUUGCGGUUGUAUUGCAUGUGCAUUCGCCUGUUGGCUUUGUCCAUGCAUGUUUCGUGUUGCAUUGGCAUUGCAUUGCAUUGCAUUGCUUUGCAAACCGAUUGCGAUUGCCACUCUUGCCUUUGCAUUGCAUUGUGUUGUGUUGCAUUGCAUUGCAUUGCAUUGCAUUGCUUUGCAACCUAUUGCAUUGCAUUGCUUUGCUUUGCUUUGCAUUGCAUUGCAUUGCAUUGCAUUGCAUUGCAUUGUGUUGCAUCCCAUUGCAGUGCACUGCACUCACUUUGCAUUGCAACUCAUUGCAUCCCAUUGCAUUGCAUUGCAUUGCAUUGCAUCACAUCACCUUGCAUCCCAUUGCAUUGCAUUGCACUCACUUUGCAUUGCAUCGCCCUGCAUCACAUUGCAUUGCAUUGCACCACACCCACUUUGCAUUGCAUUGCAUUGCACCCAUCUUGCAUUGCAUCCCAUUGCAUUGCAUCACACCCAGGUUGCAUUGCAUCUGAUUGCAUUGCUUUGCUUUGCUUUGCUUUGCUUUGCUUGUGUUGUAUUGCAUUGCAUUGCAUUGCUUUGCAUCCUCAUGCAUUGCUUUGCACCCUCAUGCAUUGCUUUGCAUUGCUUUGCAACCCAUUGCAUUGCAUUGCUUUGCAAGCUAUUGCAUUGCAUUGCACCCAUCUUGCAUUGCAUUGCAUUGCAUUGCAUUGCAUCACAUUGUAUUGCAUUGCAUUGCAUUGCAACCUGUUGUAUUGCAUUGCAUUGCAUUGGUUUGCAACCUAUUGCAUUGCAACUCAUUGCAUCCCAUUGCAUUGCAAUACAUUGCACCCAGUUUGCAUUGCAUCCCAUUGCAUUGCAUCACACCCACUUUGCAUUGCAUUGCUUUGCCUCACCUUGCAUCGCAUUGCCUGGCGUCACAUCACCUUGUGUUGCAUUGCACCCAGCUUGCAUUGCAUCUCAUUGCAUUGCAUUGCAUCCCUUUGCAUUGCAUCCCGUUGCAUUGCAUCACACCGACUUUGCAUUGCAUUGCAUUGCUUUGCAACCUAUUGCAUUGCAUUGCAUCCCAUCGCAAUGCAUUGCACCACAUUGCACCCAGGUUGCAUUGCAUUGCAUUGCAUCCCAUUGCAUCCCAUUGCAUUGCAUUGCAUUCACUUUGCAUUGCAUUGCACCUAG